Molecule: ribosomal RNA, 497 nt
Filed under: uncultured bacterium
Lineage: Bacteria
Description: partial 16S ribosomal RNA
Rfam family: Bacterial small subunit ribosomal RNA
Source: RNAcentral
GAUGAACGCUGGCGGCGUGCCUAAUACAUGCAAGUCGAGCGAACAGACGAGGAGCUUGCUCCUCUGACGUUAGCGGCGGACGGGUGAGUAACACGUGGAUAACCUACCUAUAAGACUGGGAUAACUUCGGGAAACCGGAGCUAAUACCGGAUAAUAUAUUGAACCGCAUGGUUCAAUAGUGAAAGACGGUUUUGCUGUCACUUAUAGAUGGAUCCGCGCCGCAUUAGCUAGUUGGUAAGGUAACGGCUUACCAAGGCAACGAUGCGUAGCCGACCUGAGAGGGUGAUCGGCCACACGGGAACUGAGCCACGGUCCAGACUCCUACGGGAGGCAGCAGUAGGGAAUCUUCCGCAAUGGGCGAAAGCCUGACGGAGCAACGCCGCGUGAGUGAUGAAGGUCUUCGGAUCGUAAAACUCUGUUAUUAGGGAAGAACAAAUGUGUAAGUAACUAUGCACGUCUUGACGGUACCUAAUCAGAAAGCCACGGCUAACUACGUG